RNAcentral lists this transfer RNA (69 nucleotides) under Gerres erythrourus. Its description in RNAcentral is "tRNA-Met". It matches the Rfam family "tRNA". From Rfam's summary of the family: Transfer RNA (tRNA) molecules are approximately 80 nucleotides in length. Their secondary structure includes four short double-helical elements and three loops (D, anti-codon, and T loops). The record is from RNAcentral. RNAcentral also lists the same sequence under 1 other name. Lineage: Eukaryota; Metazoa; Chordata; Actinopteri; Gerreiformes; Gerreidae.
AGUAAAGUCAGCUAAUUAAGCUCUUGGGCCCAUACCCCAAAAAUGUUGGUUAAAGUCCUUCCUUCACUA